GAUGAACGCUGGCGGCGUGCCUAAUACAUGCAAGUCGAGCGAACAGAUGAGGAGCUUGCUCCUCUGACGUUAGCGGCGGACGGGUGAGUAACACGUGGAUAACCUACCUAUAAGACUGGGAUAACUUCGGGAAACCGGAGGUAAUACCGGAUAAUAUAUUGAACCGCAUGGUUCAAUAGUGAAAGACGGUUUUGCUGUCACUUAUAGAUGGAUCCGCGCCGCAUUAGCUAGUUGGUAAGGUAACGGCUUACCAAGGCAACGAUGCGUAGCCGACCUGAGAGGGUGAUCGGCCACACUGGAACUGAGACACGGUCCAGACUCCUAAGGGAGGCAGCAGUAGGGAAUCUUCCGCAAUGCGCGAAAGCCUGACGGAGCACCGCCGCGUGAGUGAUGAAGGUCUUCGGAUCGUAAAACUCUGUUAUUAGGGAAGAACAAAUGUGUAAGUAACUAUGCACGUCUUGACGGUACCUAAUCAGAAAGCCACGGCUAACUACGUG
This 497-nucleotide ribosomal RNA is filed under the name uncultured bacterium. Its description in RNAcentral is "partial 16S ribosomal RNA". It matches the Rfam family "Bacterial small subunit ribosomal RNA", at positions 28 to 507 of the family's 1533-position model. The record is from RNAcentral.